Molecule: small RNA, 145 nt
Filed under: Sinorhizobium meliloti 2011
Lineage: Bacteria; Pseudomonadati; Pseudomonadota; Alphaproteobacteria; Hyphomicrobiales; Rhizobiaceae
Description: putative ncRNA
Source: RNAcentral
CAACUUCAUCUGUCCAUGUCGUAGCUCCGGAUGAGCACAUUUUAACGGUCCAGGAGGCAUUGGAGCCUUUAUACAUGAAACUCGAACAGGAGGCGGAGGCCAAGCUGCUGCAGGCGGCGGUGUCUGCAGGUUGGUCAGCCGAAGA